CAGUACAUGUAUAAGAUAUCCAGAGGCACAGGAACCGAAACUGAAGAAAACAUUUGUGGGGUUCCACAGAGACGGAAGCUGCCACUGGUCUGCACGUGUGAAUCCUGCUGGUGCACUUUGGAACUUGGAAGGAUAACCUGCUGCUUGCCCAUAAUGAAAGCUGAAUGUAAAACUGGCCAUAUUCAAAUUCCCAGUGCCCAGCAAACUGGGGUGUGGGGACUUAAGGCAGAAGAGAGGGGAAAAACCAGGCCGUUCUCUGCAGGACAUUCAUUUGGAGCUGAAAUAUCACUGAUUAAAAACCAAAGCAAAAAGCCAGCUAUCUGACAGGAGAAACAGGAUUGUAUAAGACAAAUUGCUCAGAGCAGGAGAAGGCUCUCUCCGGUUUGUACUCUCUCUUCCUCAUUUUUGAUUUCUCCCAGACUGUCCCACUGACAGUGGCCAAGAAGCUGAUGUUGACUGUGAACCAAAGAUAGGUCAGUUAAAUAUACGUGCUAAAUCCUUUGAGAUAUUAUGUGGAUGUUGUUAUAGACAAGUAGACAUGACUGCUCCCAUGGGAGAAACAGGAAUAUUUCUGAUGCUGCAUUUUCUAACACAUUAAUAUUGUAAGAGUUGUGCUAUGAACAUCACUUAGCAGCUUCAUGGUGUAUUCUGAACAGGCUCAGUUGGUGAACAUCACACCUGCAGUUCUGUCACACUGCAGUAUCACCAAAGUUGCUUGAUUCUGAGGCACUUAAGGUACAAAUAAUCUAAAAACUGUAGACUGACCUCACGUAUGUUUUUUAUGAUAUGCAGUUGUAAAACAUUCUCUUAACCUUGUUUGCAAACACUUCAGACCAACACAUUUAGGUACUGCACAGCUGAAACCUCUUAUUACUCCAAGACCAAGGUCACCUGCCAUAAUGUUGUGUCUCAUAUUCUCAUUGCUUGUACUGGUAGAUCUAUGAUAAUAGCAAAGAUUUAUCAAGGGUUUUCAUAUCUUAACAAUGUCCUACCUCUAUAUUUCCAGAAACGUCACUGUUAAAGGUGUUAAAUAAUGUAUAAAUAUUAAUAAUUAACAACAAACACCUUAUCAAAGGGCAUGUGUUCCUGAUUAUGGCCUCUAUUCUUCUGCUUCUCCACACUGUAACCCAAAACCUUUCUUGGCACAAAGGACCUUGGCUGUGCUUCCCAUACCUCCUACCAUGGUCAGGACUUCUUUGGAGGAGAAGUGUUGCACUGGAGAACAGCUGUGGGCCUGAAUGACAACCUUUCCCCUUGGACAGAGAGCCUGUAACUCACCCUCUUUGCAUACAUAAAUUCUUCAUUUGAUUUCAAGUCAUUUGUUUUGUAUGACUUCAACAGGUGAUUGACCCAAUAACCCACAUAACCAUCAGGGUGCAUCUCAUAUCUUGCUCAGCAUAUAGAGAGGCCCAUAACUUUAAUAACUCUGUCUCAGAAACAGAUACCUGCACAAUCGGACUACUCAAAUGGCCUUACUUGUUCACAGUCUUAACCUAAUGGACAGCCUGAUACCAUGUGAGUUCUUUUCAACAGACAGUUGCUUGGGAAAACAGCUUUCAUGGUUUCAUGGUUCAAUAAAAACUAUAUGUUAUUUUUUAAGUAAUUCCUU
This 1609-nucleotide long non-coding RNA is filed under the name Coturnix japonica (Japanese quail). RNAcentral's name for it is "lncRNA (ENSCJPG00005008644.1)". Lineage: Eukaryota; Metazoa; Chordata; Aves; Galliformes; Phasianidae. The record is from RNAcentral.